Molecule: ribosomal RNA, 476 nt
Filed under: uncultured bacterium
Lineage: Bacteria
Description: bacterial SSU rRNA
Rfam family: Bacterial small subunit ribosomal RNA
Source: RNAcentral
GAUGAACGCUGGCGGCGUGCUUAACACAUGCAAGUCGAACGAAGAUGCCGGAGUGCUUGCACUUUGGCAGACUGAGUGGCGGACGGGUGAGUAACGCGUGGGUAACCUGCCUUAUACAGGGGGAUAACAGUUGGAAACGACUGCUAAUACCGCAUGACACAUCGGAGUCGCAUGGCUCUGAUGUCAAAGAUUUAUCGCUGAAAGAUGGCCUCGCGUCUGAUUAGCUAGUUGGUGAGGUAACGGCCCACCAAGGCGACGAUCAGUAGCCGGACUGAGAGGUUGAACGGCCACAUUGGGACUGAGAUACGGCCCAGACUCCUACGGGAGGCAGCAGUGGGGAAUAUUGGGCAAUGGGCGCAAGCCUGACCCAGCAACGCCGCGUGAAGGAAGAAGGUCUUCGGAUUGUAAACUCCUGUUGUUGAGGAAGAUAAUGACGGUACUCAACAAGGAAGUGACGGCUAACUACGUGCCAGCAG